UUGGUUCAGUGGUAGAAUGCUCGCCUGCCACGCGGGCGCCCCAGGUUCGAUUCCCGAUGCAU
RNAcentral lists this transfer RNA (62 nucleotides) under Cordylochernes scorpioides. RNAcentral describes it as "tRNA-Gly". Lineage: Eukaryota; Metazoa; Arthropoda; Arachnida; Pseudoscorpiones; Chernetidae. The record is from RNAcentral.